RNAcentral lists this ribosomal RNA (210 nucleotides) under uncultured bacterium. Its description in RNAcentral is "partial 16S ribosomal RNA". It matches the Rfam family "Bacterial small subunit ribosomal RNA", at positions 29 to 217 of the family's 1533-position model. The record is from RNAcentral.
AAUGAACGCUGGCGGCGUGCUUAACACAUGCAAGUCGAACGAGGCGGGAGGGGGCGAACUCCUCCCACGUCGAGUGGCGGACGGGUGAGUAACACGUGGGUAACCGUGCCCGGGUCGUGUGGAAUACCUCGGGGAAACGUCGAGCUAAUACCGCAUGACAUCUUCGAGACGUCGGUCUUGGAGAUCAAAGCGGGGCCGCAAGGCCUCGCG